CCUACGGGAGGCAGCAGUGAGGAAUAUUGGUCAAUGGGCGCGAGCCUGAACCAGCCAAGUAGCGUGAAGGAUGACUGCCCUACGGGUUGUAAACCUUUUUUAUAAAGGAAUUAAUUGAGGCAUGUGUCCCUUUUUCCAUGUACUUUAUGAAUAAGGAUAGGCUAACUCCGCGCCAGCAGCCGCGGUAAUACGGAGGAUCCGAGCGUUAACCGGAUUUAUUCGGUUUAACGGGAGCGUAGAUGGGAUGUUAAGUCAGAUGUGAAAGUUUGUGGCUCAACCAUAAAAUUGAAAUUGAUACUGUCAGUCUUGAGUACAGUUGAGGUAGGCGGAAUUCGUGGUGUAGCGGUGAAAUGCUUAGAGAUCACGAAGAACUCCGAUUGCGAAGGCAGCUUGCUAAACUGCCACUGACAUUGAUGCUCGAAAGUGUGGGUAUCAAACAGGAUUAGAUACCCUUGUAGUC
This 460-nucleotide ribosomal RNA is filed under the name uncultured bacterium. Its description in RNAcentral is "partial 16S ribosomal RNA". It matches the Rfam family "Bacterial small subunit ribosomal RNA", at positions 338 to 795 of the family's 1533-position model. The record is from RNAcentral.